This 491-nucleotide ribosomal RNA is filed under the name uncultured bacterium. RNAcentral's name for it is "bacterial SSU rRNA". It matches the Rfam family "Bacterial small subunit ribosomal RNA", at positions 903 to 1397 of the family's 1533-position model. The record is from RNAcentral.
AAAGGAAUUGACGGGGGCCCGCACAAGCAGUGGAUUAUGUGGUUUAAUUCGAAGCAACGCGAAGAACCUUACCAGGUCUUGACAUCCGACUAACGAAGUAGAGAUACAUCAGGUGCCCUUCGGGGAAAGUCGAGACAGGUGGUGCAUGGUUGUCGUCAGCUCGUGUCGUGAGAUGUUGGGUUAAGUCCCGCAACGAGCGCAACCCUUGCCAUUAGUUGCUACGCAAGAGCACUCUAAUGGGACCGCUACCGACAAGGUGGAGGAAGGUGGGGAUGACGUCAAAUCAUCAUGCCCCUUAUGACCUGGGCUACACACGUAAUACAAUGGCCGUUAACAGAGGGCAGCGAAGGCGCGAGCCGGAGCGAAUCCCUAAAAACGGUCUCAGUUCGGAUCGCAGGCUGCAACUCGCCUGCGUGAAGUCGGAAUUGCUAGUAAUCGCGGAUCAGCACGCCGCGGUGAAUACGUUCCCGGGCCUUGUACACACCGCCCGU